RNAcentral lists this transfer RNA (72 nucleotides) under Planctomycetia bacterium. RNAcentral's name for it is "tRNA-Val". It matches the Rfam family "tRNA". Rfam says of the family: Transfer RNA (tRNA) molecules are approximately 80 nucleotides in length. Their secondary structure includes four short double-helical elements and three loops (D, anti-codon, and T loops). RNAcentral also lists the same sequence under 1 other name. The record is from RNAcentral. Lineage: Bacteria; Pseudomonadati; Planctomycetota; Planctomycetia.
GGGCGUUUAGCACAGCGGUAGUGCACCUCGCUUACACCGAGGGGGUCACAGGUUCGAAUCCUGUAGCGCCCA